CCUACGGGUGGCAGCAGUGAGGAAUAUUGGUCAAUGGACGAGAGUCUGAACCAGCCAAGUAGCGUGCAGGAUGACUGCCCUAUGGGUUGUAAACUUCUUUUAUAUGGGAAUAAAACGUUCUACGUGUGGGAUUUUGUAUGUACCCUAUGAAUAAGGAUCGGCUAACUCCGUGCCAGCAGCCGCGGUAAUACGGAGGAUGCGAGCGUUAUCCGGAUUUAUUGGGUUUAAAGGGUGCGUAGGCGGAUUGUUAAGCCAGCGGUGAAAGCGUGGGGCUCAACCCCGUCCAGCCGUGGAAAAUGGGGAUCUUGAGUGUGCGGGAGGUAUGCGGAAUGCGUGGUGUAGCGGUGAAAUGCAUAGAUAUCACGCAGAACCCCGAUUGCGAAGGCAGCAUGCCGGUGCACAACUGACGCUGAGGCACGAAAGCGUGGGUAUCGAACAGGAUUAGAUACCCCUGUAGUC
Molecule: ribosomal RNA, 459 nt
Filed under: uncultured bacterium
Lineage: Bacteria
Description: partial 16S ribosomal RNA
Rfam family: Bacterial small subunit ribosomal RNA
Source: RNAcentral